CAUAUCUUUAUUGUAUGCUAUAUAUGUUGGUUAAUAUUGAAUAAAGCAAAUAAGUGUAUAUGUACUUUAUUUUUGUAACCCAUCAACUUAUUUAUAAGAGGAAAGUAUUAAAGAGAAUGUUAGUACAGUAGUAUUGUGUGUUGGUGAGUGUGAAGUGGCAGCGUGGGUGGUGACGCGUGGCACAGCGAUCAGCUGAUCUUUGUUAUGGUAAGAUGCGUGAGUGUAGGGUGGUGAUUGUGGACAUAAUUUCACUUCUGUUCAAGUAUCCGGCAUGCUUCAAGUAUCCGGCAUGUUGGGGGUCCUGUUGAUGCCGGAUAAGAGGGAUUUUACUGUACAUCAUUAUUAAUAGAGCCUUAAUGGAAUUCCUGUGGGCCAUAGAACACGACGGGAUGUGCAGAGAAAGAGUCUUCAGAGAUUGGCUUGAUCUAAUGGAUGUCUACCUCACCAUGAAAUCCUGCACCUUUUGACUCCUUGAAUUCCUGUGGGCCAUAGAACACAACAGGGUGUGCAGGGAAAGAAUCUUCAGAGAUUGGUUUGAUCCACUGAAUAUCUACCUCACCAUGAAAUCCUGCAUCUUUUGACUCCUUGGUG
Scylla paramamosain (green mud crab) is the source of this 591-nucleotide long non-coding RNA. RefSeq lists it as uncharacterized. The transcript has 3 exons. NCBI's taxonomy places the organism in Eukaryota, Metazoa, Arthropoda, Malacostraca, Decapoda, Portunidae. The record is from RefSeq and is a predicted model, not a curated record.